This 1085-nucleotide long non-coding RNA is filed under the name Macaca mulatta (Rhesus monkey). RNAcentral describes it as "lncRNA (ENSMMUG00000053387.1)". Lineage: Eukaryota; Metazoa; Chordata; Mammalia; Primates; Cercopithecidae. The record is from RNAcentral.
AUGUGGGCUCCAAGAGGUCACGGGAGCCGAGAAGUGUCCCUCAGGAGGGCAGAGGAGAGGCAGGCAGUGGGGUGCUAUCUGAUGGUGAACGCCCUGGGCACCCCUGCAGGCAGAGGCCAAGUGUGGCAGAGAGGCCAGGUGUGGCAGAGGCCAGGUAGGGCGGCUUUGCAAACCCUCACCGGACGUUCUGCACUGUGCUUCCGAAAAGCCACAGGAGCUUCCCGCGAACGGCCGCGGCGCGGUUGCAGGUGGCGACAGCCCAGAAGGCCCCUGCAGCGUGCGCGUCGGACGGGCUUCCCAGGCGGGUGCUGGCGGCGGAGCGCACCGGAGUCCUGGUCCCGCCACGGCCGCUCCCUGGCGGCCCCCGCUGGCCGCGUCCCCUAGCCCCACGGCGCCCACCCCGCUCGGCGCGCACAAGUUCCUGCAGGUCUCUCGUGCCAGGCGCAGGGGAGCCUCUUCGCGGCGUGGCCCCGCUGGGUUCCGGCUUUAAAACAGAAAGGUUCAUUGUCCCGAGGUCCCCGGGCCGGUCUAACCGCUGCAGAAACUCCCCGACGCCCCGCCCCACGCCGAACGGCCCGGCGGCCUGGCCGGAGAAGCCGGGACCGGGAGCGGGAGCCGGGCAGGCAGGCCUAGCUAGAGAGGCAAGGCUGGUGUGGGUUUUUUGUUUUACCUUUUUUUUUUUUGAGAUGAGGUCUCGCUCUGUCGCUCAGGCUGGAGUGCAGUGGAGCGAUCUUGGCUCACUGCAACCUCUGCCUCCCGGGUUCAAGCCAUUCUCCUGCCUCAGCCUCCCGACUAGCUGGGAUUACAGGCGCCCGCCACCAGGCCCGGCUAAUUUUUGUAUUUUUAGUAGAGACGCGGUUUCACCAUAUUGGCCAGGCUGGUCUCGAACUCCUGACCUCAAGUGAUCCACCCGCCUUGUCCUCUCAAAGUGCUGGGAUUACAGGCGUGAACCGCCGCGCCGGCCUGGGUGAAUUUUCUGUGUACGGAAGGGAGGCAGCACCGGAACCCCUCCUGUUCCCUUGCGUUCGCCGUAAGCACCGCGGACACUGCCACCUGACCGCGGGCUGGGGGGAAGCAGCCGGAAA